Molecule: non-coding RNA, 419 nt
Organism: Pelobates cultripes (western spadefoot toad)
Lineage: Eukaryota; Metazoa; Chordata; Amphibia; Anura; Pelobatidae
Source: the annotation of a GenBank genome assembly
UACAUUUAGUUAUGGGCCCCUGGGGUGGAGCAUUUGGAGAGCAGGGUGGGCCAAUGCUCCACUCCUCAGUUUAUACACAACUGGGAGAAAUCAGGUUAUAUAUAUAUUUUAAUUGGGGUAGCCCCCAAAUUAUUGGGACAUAUAAAAAAGACAACUCUGUUCCGCAGAGUAGCUGUUGACAUUAUAGUUGUGCAGGAACUUUGUUUACUCUACAGAACCUCGGGCAAAUCGCACAUCCCCGUGGCGGCGAGUUUUCAUGCGGAUGUCAUCCAUAUCAACUUUCGAUGCCAGUUUCUGCACCUACCAUGGUGACCACGGGUAACAGGGAAUCAGGGUUCCAUUGCGUACAGGAACCCUACCACAUUCAAGGAAGGCAGCAGGCACGCAAAUGACCCACUCCCGAUGCGGGAAGUUAGUGA